This 619-nucleotide ribosomal RNA is filed under the name Luciella masanensis. RNAcentral's name for it is "partial large subunit ribosomal RNA". It matches the Rfam family "Eukaryotic large subunit ribosomal RNA", at positions 43 to 651 of the family's 3401-position model. Lineage: Eukaryota; Dinophyceae; Peridiniales; Pfiesteriaceae. The record is from RNAcentral.
UAAGUAAGCGGAGGAAAAGAAACUAAAUAGGAUUCCCUUAGUAAUGGCGAAUGAACAGGGAUCAGCUCAGGAUGGAAAUCGGGGCCCUCGGCCUUGAAUUGUAAUCUGGAGAUGCAUUACCAACUGGGGCACAGAUGUAAGCCUCUUGGAAAAGAGCAUCAGUGAGGGUGAGAAUCCCGCAUGGCAUCUGUAGUCCUCAGUGUACGGUGUGCAUUCUAAGAGUCACACUCCUCGGGACUGGAGUGCAAAUCGGGUGGUAAAUUUCAUCUAAAGCUAAAUAUUUGUUCGAGACCGAUAGCAAACAAGUACCAUGAGGGAAAGGUGAAAAGGACUUUGAGAAGAGAGUUAAAAGUGCCUGAAAUUGCUGAAAGAGAAGCGAAUGGAACCAGUCAAACUUGGCAAGAUUGUUACGUGCCAGCGGGAUUGCUCGCUACUUCAGCGAAAGCGGGGUAGUGGGUUUUGAUCGUGACGUACGUGGUGUUUCUUGCUUGGCCUGUCAACUUCAGUUCACGGGUGAGGAAAACUUCAAGGACCUGGUAGCUUGCCAUCCGGUGAGUGAAUGUGCUUGUUGGAACUCAUCUGUGGUCUGAUCGUUGAUGAAAUGGUUCCAUCCGACCCG